Molecule: ribosomal RNA, 497 nt
Filed under: uncultured bacterium
Lineage: Bacteria
Description: partial 16S ribosomal RNA
Rfam family: Bacterial small subunit ribosomal RNA
Source: RNAcentral
GAUGAACGCUGGCGGCGUGCCUAAUACAUGCCAGUCGAGCGAACAGAUGAGGAGCUUGCUCCUCUGACGUUAGCGGCGGACGGGUGAGUAACACGUGGAUAACCUACCUAUAAGACUGGGAUAACUUCGGGAAACCGGAGCUAAUACCGGAUAAUAUAUUGAACCGCAUGGUUCAAUAGUGAAAGACGGUUUUGCUGUCACUUAUAGAUGGAUCCGCGCCGCAUUAGCUAGUUGGUAAGGUAACGGCUUACCAAGGCAACGAUGCGUAGCCGACCUGAGAGGGUGAUCGGCCACACUGGAACUGAGACACGGUCCAGACUCCUACGGGAGGCAGCAGUAGGGAAUCUUCCGCAAUGGGCGAAAGCCUGACGGAGCAACGCCGCGUGAGUGAUGAAGGUCUUCGGAUCGUAAAACUCUGUUAUUAGGGAAGAACAAAUGUGUAAGUAACUAUGCACGUCUUGACGGUACCUAAUCAGAAAGCGACGGCUAACUACGUG